RNAcentral lists this unclassified non-coding RNA (341 nucleotides) under soil metagenome. Its description in RNAcentral is "partial contains 5.8S ribosomal RNA, internal transcribed spacer 2, and large subunit ribosomal RNA". The stretch from base 1 to 120 matches the Rfam family "5.8S ribosomal RNA", at positions 35 to 154 of the family's 154-position model. The record is from RNAcentral.
GAUGAAGAACGCAGCGAAAUGCGAUAAGUAGUGUGAAUUGCAGAAUUCAGUGAAUCAUCGAAUCUUUGAACGCACAUUGCGCUCUUUGGUAUUCCAAAGGGCAUGCCUGUUCGAGCGUCAUUUGUACCCUCAAGCUUUGCUUGGUGUUGGGCGUCUUGUCUCUAGCUUUGCUGGAGACUCGCCUUAAAGUAAUUGGCAGCCGGCCUACUGGUUUCGGAGUGCAGCACAAGUCGCACUCUCUAUCAGCAAAGGUCUAGCAUCCAUUAAGCCUUUUUUUCAACUUUUGACCUCGGAUCAGGUAGGGAUACCCGCUGAACUUAAGCAUAUCAAUAAGCGGAGGA